GUCCCUUCGGGGGAACUGAGACAGGUGGUGCAUGGUUGUCGUCAGCUUGUGUCGUGAGANGUUGGGUUAAGUCCCGCAACGAGCGCAACCCUUAUUGAUAGUUACUAACGCGUNGAGGCGAGGANUNUAUUGAGACUGCCGGGGACAACUCGGAGGAAGGUGGGGANGACGGCAAAUCAUCAUGCCCCUUAUNACNUGGGCUACACACGUCNUACAAUGGCCGAUACAGAGAGAAGCGAAAGCGCGAGCCGNAGCGGAUCUCACAAAAGCGGUNGAAGUUCGGAUUNUGGGCUGCAACCCGCCCACAUGAAAUCGGAGUUGNUAGUAAUCGCGGANCAGCAUGCCGCGGUGAAUACGUUCCCNNGCCUUGUACACNCCGCCCGUCNNACCAUGGGAGUUGGUAGCACCCGAAGGCAGUGAGNUAACCGCAAGGAGCCAGCUGUCGAAGGUGGGAUCAAUGAAUGGGGUGAAGUCGUAACAAGGUAGCCGUAUCGGAAGGUGCGGCUGGAUCACCUCCUU
RNAcentral lists this ribosomal RNA (519 nucleotides) under uncultured bacterium. RNAcentral's name for it is "partial 16S ribosomal RNA". It matches the Rfam family "Bacterial small subunit ribosomal RNA", at positions 1014 to 1532 of the family's 1533-position model. The record is from RNAcentral.